Molecule: ribosomal RNA, 207 nt
Filed under: uncultured bacterium
Lineage: Bacteria
Description: partial 16S ribosomal RNA
Rfam family: Bacterial small subunit ribosomal RNA
Source: RNAcentral
AGCGUAGGCGGACAUUUAAGUCAGGGGUGAAAUCCCGGGGCUCAACCUCGGAAUUGCCUUUGAUACUGGGUGUCUUGAGUAUGGGAGAGGUGUGUGGAACUCCGAGUGUAGAGGUGAAAUUCGUAGAUAUUCGGAAGAACACCAGUGGCGAAGGCGACACACUGGCUCAUUACUGACGCUGAGGCUCGAAAGCGUGGGGAGCAAACA